This 65-nucleotide transfer RNA is filed under the name Trichochrysea japana. RNAcentral describes it as "tRNA-Arg". The record is from RNAcentral. Lineage: Eukaryota; Metazoa; Arthropoda; Insecta; Coleoptera; Chrysomelidae.
AAAUAAGAAGCAAUAAUUUGCAUUUAGUUUCGACCUAAAAUUUAGAUUUUUAAAAUCCUUAUUUA